This 447-nucleotide ribosomal RNA is filed under the name uncultured bacterium. RNAcentral describes it as "bacterial SSU rRNA". It matches the Rfam family "Bacterial small subunit ribosomal RNA", at positions 335 to 798 of the family's 1533-position model. The record is from RNAcentral.
ACUCCUACGGGAGGCAGCAGUGGGGAAUCUUGCGCAAUGGGCGAAAGCCUGACGCAGCCAUGCCGCGUGAAUGAUGAAGGUCUUAGGAUUGUAAAAUUCUUUCACCGGGGACGAUAAUGACGGUACCCGGAGAAGAAGCCCCGGCUAACUUCGUGCCAGCAGCCGCGGUAAUACGAAGGGGGCUAGCGUUGCUCGGAAUUACUGGGCGUAAAGGGAGCGUAGGCGGACAUUUAAGUCAGGGGUGAAAUCCCGGGGCUCAACCUCGGAAUUGCCUUUGAUACUGGGUGUCUUGAGUAUGAGAGAGGUGUGUGGAACUCCGAGUGUAGAGGUGAAAUUCGUAGAUAUUCGGAAGAACACCAGUGGCGAGGCGACACACUGGCUCAUUACUGACGCUGAGGCUCGAAAGCGUGGGGAGCAAACAGGAUUAGAUACCCUGGUAGCGUCGUC